This 1080-nucleotide long non-coding RNA is filed under the name Dromaius novaehollandiae (emu). RNAcentral describes it as "lncRNA (ENSDNVG00000017568.1)". The record is from RNAcentral. Lineage: Eukaryota; Metazoa; Chordata; Aves; Casuariiformes; Dromaiidae.
AUGUUUUUUAAACCACAGACGACUUUUGGCAGCGGCAAAGCCGGAGCGGGGCCGGAGUGCAGCGACGGUGCGGGUCGGCAUGCCGGGCGGCGGCUGCGGCGCUGGGAUCCCGCUCAACCCGGGCCCAGGGCGGCAGAGUUUAUUUUUGUAUCCCGGGUGAGCUGGGACUGGCGGCUCGGCCUCGCGCUUUGGUUUAAUUGCAUCUCCCCCCAUUUCCUCCCUCCUCCUCGCCCGGCCUCCGCGGGAGGCGAGUCCCCCGCUCUGCCCCGGCUCCCSGUGUUUCGCAGGGCCGAGUUUUCCCUCCUCCUCCCUUUCGGCAGGCGCCGGGUCGGGGCGGUGAGAGCCCAGCUGGCCCCGGGGGUGCUGGGCGAACCGGAGGCAGCGGCGAGGCCGGCUGCRGAGCGCCAACGCUGCCCGGCUCCCUGCGACGGGUCCCUGCCGCCUCGAGGAGCGAGCGGCUCCGGGGCAGUCCCAGCCCUGCCGCAGGGCCCCGGGUGCCGGCRCUGCUCCGUCGCCCUGGUGGGAGGUGGCAGGGGGAGGAGGACAGAGGGAGGCAGGACGGCGGCCGAGGGUGCUGGCGCGGCUCCUUCCCCCGUGCCAGGAGCUCAGUCCUGGCCACGGCAGCGGCCCGGCGUUGCCCGACGGCAGCUCUGCCCYGCUCCUUUCCCGGGGCGGCGUCUCCCUUCUAGGAACCUCUCCGAGGUUGUUUCGGAGCCGGUUUCCUUGUCCUCGAGGAUGAACUUGAGCCUCCRCUCCCCGGGGCAGCGCUGGCCUGCRGCUCCUGGCCGUGCCCUACCCGGUUUUCCCACCGUAGCUCAGGACGGAAAAGGGGCAGGAGCCCAGGAGCUGGCGGGCGAAGGACCCGCUCCGAGGGCAGCGGUGCAGCGGGCCCGGCCGGGUCAGCGCGGGCGACGAGGCCUGUGGGGCUGGGGGAGCCGCGGGCCUCCCCACCUCCCUCUUCCUCCCCUGCCGGGGGUGGGCGCAGGCUCUGGCCCUUCCCUCUCUCCCUCUGCCCCUGCCCGGGCGCUGCUGUGGCUGGCUUCAUGGUUUAACCCCCCGGCGUGGGACUUUGCGGCGUAG